GCGGUAAUACAGAGGGUGCAAGGUUAAUCGGAUUUACUGGGCGUAAAGCGCGCGUAGGUGGCCAAUUAAGUCAAAUGUGAAAUCCCCGAGCGGUAACUUGGGAAUUGCAUUCGAUACUGGUUGGCUAGAGUAUGGGAGAGGAUGGUAGAAUUCCAGGUGUAGCGGUGAAAUGCGUAGAGAUCUGGAGGAAUACCGAUGGCGAAGGCAGCCAUCUGGCCUAAUACUGACACUGAGGUGCGAAAGCAUGGGGAGCAAACAGGAUUAGAUACCCUGGUAGUCCAUGCCGUAAACGAUGUCUACUAGCCGUUGGGGCCUUUGAGGCUUUAGUGGCGCAGCUAACGCGAUAAGUAGACCGCCUGGGGAGUACGGUCGCAAUGCUAAAACUCAAAUGAAUUGACGGGGGCCCGCACAAGCGGUGGAGCAUGUGGUUUAAUUCGAUGCAACGCGAAGAACCUUACCUGGUCUUGACAUAGUAAGAACUUUCCAGAGAUGGAUUGGUGCCUUCGGGAACUUACAUACACGUGCUGCAUGGCUGUCGUCAGCUCGUGUCGUGAGAUGUUGGGUUAAGUCCCGCAACGAGCGCAACCCUUUUCCUUAUUUGCCAGCGGGUUAAGCCGGGAACUUUAAGGAUACUGCCAGUGACAAACUGGAGGAAGGCGGGACGACGUCAAGUCAUCAUGGCCCUUACGACCAGG
RNAcentral lists this ribosomal RNA (695 nucleotides) under Acinetobacter lwoffii. Its description in RNAcentral is "bacterial SSU rRNA". It matches the Rfam family "Bacterial small subunit ribosomal RNA", at positions 517 to 1212 of the family's 1533-position model. The record is from RNAcentral. Lineage: Bacteria; Pseudomonadati; Pseudomonadota; Gammaproteobacteria; Moraxellales; Moraxellaceae.